ACAGCAGCAGCCGCGGUAAUACAGAGGAUGCAAGCGUUAUCCGGAAUGAUUGGGCGUAAAGCGUCUGUAGGUGGCUUUUCAAGUCCGCCGUCAAAUCCCAGGGCUCAACCCUGGACAGGCGGUGGAAACUACCAAGCUGGAGUACGGUAGGGGCAGAGGAAAUUUCCGGUGGAGCGAUGAAAUGCGUUGAGAUCGGAAAGAACACCAACAGCGAAAGCACUCUGUUGGGCCGACACUGACACUGAGAGACGAAAGUUAGGGGAGCAAAUGGGAUUAGAUACCCCCGUAGUCCCUGUCUCUUAUAC
Molecule: ribosomal RNA, 305 nt
Filed under: uncultured bacterium
Lineage: Bacteria
Description: partial 16S ribosomal RNA
Rfam family: Bacterial small subunit ribosomal RNA
Source: RNAcentral